GAGAGUGCGGGGGCUCCGGUGAGUCCCUCGGUCUUCAAAACCGUUGACGGGGCGCUUACGCGUUCCGUGGUGGGUUCGACUCCCAUGCACUCUCGCA
RNAcentral lists this transfer RNA (97 nucleotides) under Chloroflexota bacterium. Its description in RNAcentral is "tRNA-Sec". It matches the Rfam family "Selenocysteine transfer RNA". Lineage: Bacteria; Bacillati; Chloroflexota. The record is from RNAcentral.